CAGUAGCCGCGGUAAUACGUAGGGUGCAAGCGUUAAUCGGAAUUACUGGGCGUAAAGCGUGCGCAGGCGGUUGUGUAAGUCUGAUGUGAAAGCCCCGGGCUCAACCUGGGAACUGCAUUGGAGACUGCACGGCUAGAGUGCGUCAGAGGGGGGUAGAAUUCCGCGUGUAGCAGUGAAAUGCGUAGAGAUGCGGAGGAAUACCGAUGGCGAAGGCAGCCCCCUGGGAUGACACUGACGCUCAUGCACGAAAGCGUGGGGAGCAAACAGGAUUAGAUACCCCUGUAGUCCCUGUCUCUUAUAC
Molecule: ribosomal RNA, 301 nt
Filed under: uncultured bacterium
Lineage: Bacteria
Description: partial 16S ribosomal RNA
Rfam family: Bacterial small subunit ribosomal RNA
Source: RNAcentral